This is a long non-coding RNA of Cheilinus undulatus (humphead wrasse), 197 nucleotides long. RefSeq lists it as uncharacterized. The record is from RefSeq and is a predicted model, not a curated record. NCBI's taxonomy places the organism in Eukaryota, Metazoa, Chordata, Actinopteri, Labriformes, Labridae. The transcript has 4 exons.
CCACACUGAACAGCUGAGAGGAUCAUUCUGCUGCAGGUUUUGGUUUUCAUCUUUACACCAUGAAGCUGCUGACCGUUUCUCUGCUCAUCUGUGUCCUGAUCGCUCUGGCCCAAGCUGCUGCGAUUGAUCAUCAUCAACACCAUCAUGAGGCACCAGGAGAAACCAUGGAGGAGCAGGAGGCCGGAGGAAGAGUGAGA